Mercenaria mercenaria is the source of this 420-nucleotide long non-coding RNA. RefSeq lists it as uncharacterized. The transcript has 3 exons. Lineage: Eukaryota; Metazoa; Mollusca; Bivalvia; Venerida; Veneridae. The record is from RefSeq and is a predicted model, not a curated record.
CUUUUGUCAUUUGCAGGCGAUGAAUUCCAUAUGUCAGAAGGAAAAUUUUGAAUCGUACAACCAGUCAGCAGCUACCCAUAAACCAGACCAACCUAUUAAGUCGAGCGGGCAGAAGCUGUGAUUCCCAGUGUAACACCGCAGAAUGACGGUUAGUUUUCGGCGAUGAAUUCCAUAUGUCAGAAGGAAAUUUAGAAUCGUACAACCAGUCAGCAGCUACCCAUAAACCAGACCAACCUAUUAAGUCGAGCGGGCAGAAGCUGUGAUUCCCAGUGUAACACCGCAGAAUGACGGUUAGUUUUCGAAAGUGGAAUAUCUCAGCAACCAUAGGGUUUACAGUCAUGAAACUUCACACACUAGUAUCUGAUAACAAUACAAAUCAGUGGCUAAAAGGAUAUUUCCAAGGUUUGUGAAAUUUUAAUU